UCGAGCGAGGGGCUUGCUCCCUUGAUUUAGCGGCGGACGGGUGAGUAACACGUGGGCAACCUACCUGUAAGACUGGGAUAACUUCGGGAAACCGGAGCUAAUACCGAUAAUUUCUUUUCUCGCAUGAGAAGAGAUGGAAAGACGCUUCGGCUGUCACUUACACAUGGGCCNNAUUAGCUAGUUGGUGAGGUAAUGGCUCACCAAGGGCACCU
RNAcentral lists this ribosomal RNA (212 nucleotides) under unidentified eubacterium U63029. Its description in RNAcentral is "partial 16S ribosomal RNA". It matches the Rfam family "Bacterial small subunit ribosomal RNA", at positions 62 to 278 of the family's 1533-position model. The record is from RNAcentral. Lineage: Bacteria; Bacillati; Bacillota; Bacilli; Caryophanales.